Gossypium arboreum is the source of this 313-nucleotide long non-coding RNA. RefSeq lists it as uncharacterized. The record is from RefSeq and is a predicted model, not a curated record. Lineage: Eukaryota; Viridiplantae; Streptophyta; Magnoliopsida; Malvales; Malvaceae. The transcript is spliced from 2 exons.
AAACUUAUAUAAAAUGUAAGUUCAUAAAAUCAAUGAAAAAAUAGCUUCACACGCGUGGAAUACAUGUAAAGGAGACCUUGGGCAAUACGCUAAAUUUCAAAGGCCUCAACAAGCUCCAACGAUGGCCUCUUUUCCCACCGGCAUCACAACAGUCACCGGCUUCCACCACCGCCAUAUCACCAGGGGCCACUGGAGGAAACAUGGGUUUUUCUAGUUUAUAACCAGAAGAAACCCGUCAGGACCACUACUUUUUUACGGUGAGAUUGACCGCACAGUUCGCAAAAAUCAAAGAGAAAUAAGGCGAAGCUUAAGA